GACGUAGGAGGCAAGCGUUAUCCGGAUUUACUGGGCGUAAAGCGUGUGCAGGCGGUUUGGUUAGUUGGAUGUGAAAGCUCCUGGCUUAACUGGGAGAGGUCGUUCAAUACUGCCAGACUUGAGGAUGGGAGAGGAAGGUGGAAUUCCGAGUGUAGUGGUGAAAUGCGUAGAUAUUCGGAGGAACACCAGUGGCGAAAGCGGCCUUCUGGCCCAUUUCUGACGCUCAUACACGAAAGCUAGGGGAGCAAACGGG
Molecule: ribosomal RNA, 253 nt
Filed under: uncultured bacterium
Lineage: Bacteria
Description: partial 16S ribosomal RNA
Rfam family: Bacterial small subunit ribosomal RNA
Source: RNAcentral